Molecule: ribosomal RNA, 253 nt
Filed under: uncultured bacterium
Lineage: Bacteria
Description: partial 16S ribosomal RNA
Rfam family: Bacterial small subunit ribosomal RNA
Source: RNAcentral
UACGUAGGGUGCAAGCGUUAAUCGGAAUUACUGGGCGUAAAGCGUGCGCAGGCGGCUUUGCAAGACAGAUGUGAAAUCCCCGGGCUUAACCUGGGAACUGCAUUUGUGACUGCAUGGCUAGAGUGCGGCAGAGGGGGAUGGAAUUCCGCGUGUAGCAGUGGAAUGCGCAGAUAUUAGGAGGAACACCAAUAGCGAAGGCAGCUCGCUGGGACGGUACUGACGCUGAGGUGCGAAAGCGUGGGGAGCAAACAGG